GCGAGGUUAGCUCAGUGGUAGAGCACUUGCUUCACACGCAAGGGGUCGCAGGUUCGAAACCUGCACCUCGCACCA
This 75-nucleotide transfer RNA is filed under the name Verrucomicrobiota bacterium. RNAcentral describes it as "Verrucomicrobia bacterium (freshwater metagenome) tRNA-Val". It matches the Rfam family "tRNA". Rfam says of the family: Transfer RNA (tRNA) molecules are approximately 80 nucleotides in length. RNAcentral also lists the same sequence under 1 other name. The record is from RNAcentral. Lineage: Bacteria; Pseudomonadati; Verrucomicrobiota.